This 488-nucleotide ribosomal RNA is filed under the name uncultured Oscillospiraceae bacterium. RNAcentral's name for it is "partial 16S ribosomal RNA". The record is from RNAcentral. Lineage: Bacteria; Bacillati; Bacillota; Clostridia; Eubacteriales; Oscillospiraceae.
CACGUAGUUAGCCGUGGCUUCCUCCUCAGCUACCGUCAUUAUCGUCACUGAGGACAGAGGUUUACAAUCCGAAAACCUUCUUCCCUCACGCGGCGUCGCUGCAUCAGGGUUUCCCCCAUUGUGCAAUAUCCCCCACUGCUGCCUCCCGUAGGAGUCUGGGCCGUGUCUCAGUCCCAAUGUGGCCGAUCAACCUCUCAGUCCGGCUACCGAUCGUCGCCAUGGUGGGCCGUUACCCCGCCAUCUAGCUAAUCGGACGCGAGCCCAUCUUUCAGCGGAUUGCUCCUUUGAUAUCAGUGCCAUGCGGUACCGAUAUGUCAUGCGGUAUUAGCGUUCGUUUCCAAACGUUAUCCCCCUCUGAAAGGCAGGUUGCUCACGUGUUACUCACCCGUCGCCACUAAGACAAUCAAAAGCAAGCUCCUAAUUGUCUCCGUUCGACUUGCAUGUGUUAGGCGCGCCGCCAGCGUUCUCCUGAGCCAGGAUCAAACUCU